This 23-nucleotide non-coding RNA is filed under the name Rattus norvegicus (Norway rat). The record is from RNAcentral. Lineage: Eukaryota; Metazoa; Chordata; Mammalia; Rodentia; Muridae.
CGUUUUGGUGACUCCUCUUAUGU